RNAcentral lists this transfer RNA (72 nucleotides) under Camelus bactrianus (Bactrian camel). It matches the Rfam family "tRNA". Rfam says of the family: Transfer RNA (tRNA) molecules are approximately 80 nucleotides in length. Their secondary structure includes four short double-helical elements and three loops (D, anti-codon, and T loops). RNAcentral also lists the same sequence under 2 other names. Lineage: Eukaryota; Metazoa; Chordata; Mammalia; Artiodactyla; Camelidae. The record is from Rfam by way of RNAcentral.
GAGGGUAUAGCUCAGCAGUAGAGCAUGUGCUUAGCAUGCACAAGGUCCUGGGUUCAAUCCCCAGUACCUCCA